RNAcentral lists this ribosomal RNA (1469 nucleotides) under uncultured bacterium. Its description in RNAcentral is "bacterial SSU rRNA". It matches the Rfam family "Bacterial small subunit ribosomal RNA". The record is from RNAcentral.
GACGAACGCUGGCGGCGGGCCUAACACAUGCAAGUCGUGGGAGAAUCCAGCUCUUCGGAGUUGGAGGAGACCGGCGGACGGGUGAGUAACGCGUAGGCAACCUGCCCUCAGGAGAAGGAUAACCCGUCGAAAGAUGGGCUAAUACUUCAUGAUGCAGCGGGGUCGCAUGACCACAGUUGUUAAAGGCCUUCGGGUGCCUGAGGAUGGGCCUGCGUGACAUUAGCUAGUUGGUGAGGUAAGAGCUUACCAAGGCGAUGAUGUCUAGGGGGUCUGAGAGGAUGACCCCCCACACGGGGACUGAGACACGGCCCCGACUCCUACGGGAGGCAGCAGUGAGGAAUCUUGCGCAAUGGGGGCAACCCUGACGCAGCCACGCCGCGUGCUGGAAGAAGGUCCUAUGGAUCGUAAACAGCUUUUCUACGGGAAGAAGGGGUCCCGAUUCGUCGGGACUUGACGGUACUGUAGGAAUAAGCACCGGCUAACUCCGUGCCAGCAGCCGCGGUAAUACGGAGGGUGCAAGCGUUGUCCGGAAUCAUUGGGUGUAAAGGGUGCGUAGGCGGAGCUUUAAGUCUGCGGUGAAAUCUUGCCGCUUAACGGUAAAAGUGCCGUGGAAACUAGAGCUCUUGAGUGUAGCAGAGGCCGGUGGAAUUCGUGGUGUAGCGGUGAAAUGCAUAGAUAUCACGAAGAACACCAGUGGCGAAAGCGGCCGGCUGGGCUACGACUGACGCUGAGGCACGAGAGCGUGGGGAGCGAACAGGAUUAGAUACCCUGGUAGUCCACGCUGUAAACGAUGUGCGCUAGAUGUUGGCCCUUCGGGGUCAGUGUCGCAGUUAACGCAUUAAGCGCACCACCUGGGGAGUACGUCCGCAAGGAUGAAACUCAAAGGAAUUGACGGGGGCCCGCACAAGCGGUGGAGCAUGUGGCUUAAUUCGAUGCAACGCGAAGAACCUUACCCGGGCUAAAUCCAUGCUGCCGGCUCCCGAAACGGAGCCGUUCCGUCUAUGACGGACGGCAUGGAAGGUGCUGCAUGGCUGUCGUCAGCUCGUGCCGUGAGGUGUUGGGUUAAGUCCCGCAACGAGCGCAACCCCUGCUGCUAGUUACCAGCGCGUUAUGGCGGGGACUCUAGCAGGACUGCCUACGCAAGUAGUGAGGAAGGUGGGGACGACGUCAAGUCAUCAUGGCCCUUACGUCCGGGGCUGCACACGUGCUACAAUGGAUGGUACAACGGGAAGCCACUCGGCAACGAGGCGCUAAUCUCGAAAGCCAUCCCCAGUUCGGAUCGUAGUCUGCAACUCGACUGCGUGAAGGUGGAAUCGCUAGUAAUCGCGGAUCAUCAAUGCCGCGGUGAAUACGUUCCCGGGCCUUGUACACACCGCCCGUCAAGCGAUGGAAGUCAGGAGUACCUGACGUUCGCCGUGCUAACUCUUCGGGAGGGGCAGGCGCCUAGGGUAAGCCUGGCAACUGGCGCU